Long non-coding RNA from Stegastes partitus (bicolor damselfish), 611 nucleotides. RefSeq lists it as uncharacterized. Lineage: Eukaryota; Metazoa; Chordata; Actinopteri; Pomacentridae. The transcript has 2 exons. The record is from RefSeq and is a predicted model, not a curated record.
CGAGAACAAGCAGAAGUUAAGCUGCUCAGAACAGAACGAUAGAAAAGGAGAGAUAAACUUGAUAAGUUAGCUGAAUAAUUGAGAGAGAGAGAUAAGAAUCUGCCGAUUGUGUUUACAUUUUGACAGUGCGUUGCUCCGGUGGUAAACGAGUCAGGUGGUGUUCGAUACUCCGACUGGUUUUUGUGACUGGAUUAGACGCCUGUAAAAUUUCUACUGAACGCAAUGGCGAGCCAGACCCAUUGAGGACUACCAUAGAUGGAUGUUUGAAUCAGUGUGGCCAGCUGUUUCAACCUCUAUUCUGAAGACUCCACUUCGUUGAUUUCAAAGGAUUCACAGAUAAGGGACGAUGACAAUAACACACAUUUAUCCUACCCGGGUAGAGAGACAGAAAACACGCUAACAAAUAGUGACCCAAGGAAGGACCUGAACAUCACAAACUAAAUAAAUCUCUAAGGACAUUGUGCAUUUCCUUUUGCUGCUGUGUUUCUAUCCAAAGAGACGCUAUUUUAUUUUGUUGUUUUUCUAAUUGUUUAUAUGGCACAGUAUUAAUAUUUGUUGUUAGUCUUGUUAUACUGCAAUAAAUCUGCCGGCUGUUGUCUAUUGCAAAUAUA